GGAGCAGUGGUGUAGAGGCCUAACAUGCCAGCCUGUCACGCUGGAGAUCGCGGGUUCGAAUCCCGUCUGCUCCGCCA
RNAcentral lists this transfer RNA (77 nucleotides) under Heliobacterium chlorum. RNAcentral describes it as "tRNA-Asp". It matches the Rfam family "tRNA". Rfam says of the family: Transfer RNA (tRNA) molecules are approximately 80 nucleotides in length. Their secondary structure includes four short double-helical elements and three loops (D, anti-codon, and T loops). RNAcentral also lists the same sequence under 6 other names. The record is from RNAcentral. Lineage: Bacteria; Bacillati; Bacillota; Clostridia; Eubacteriales; Heliobacteriaceae.